UAACACGUAGGUAAUCUACCUUUGAUGGGGGAAUAACUUAGGGAAACUUAAGCUAAUACCGCAUAAUGCAGCGGCAUCUAUGAUGACAGUUGUUAAAGGAGCAAUCCGCUUAAAGAGGAGCCUGCGGCAGAUUAGCUAGUUGGUAAGGUAAUGGCUUACCAAGGCUACGAUCUGUAUCCGACCUGAGAGGGUGGUCGGACACACUGACACUGAAUAACGGGUCAG
RNAcentral lists this ribosomal RNA (225 nucleotides) under uncultured bacterium. RNAcentral describes it as "partial 16S ribosomal RNA". It matches the Rfam family "Bacterial small subunit ribosomal RNA", at positions 111 to 334 of the family's 1533-position model. The record is from RNAcentral.